AUNNAAUUUUUNCUUCGGAGAGGGAGCCUGAGAAACGGCUANCACAUCCAAGGAAGGCAGCAGGCGCGUAAAUUACCCAAUCCUGACACAGGGAGGUAGUGACAAUAAAUAACAAUGCCGGGCCUUUAUAGGUCUGGCAAUUGGAAUGAGAACAAUUUAAAUCCCUUAUCGAGGAUCAAUUGGAGGGCAAGUCUGGUGCCAGCAGCCGCGGUAAUUCCAGCUCCAAUAGCGUAUAUUAAAGUUGUUGCAGUUAAAAAGCUCGUAGUUGGAUUUGUGGCGUGCGGUGGGCUCCGGGCACUUGUUGUCU
RNAcentral lists this ribosomal RNA (307 nucleotides) under uncultured organism. RNAcentral describes it as "SSU rRNA". It matches the Rfam family "Eukaryotic small subunit ribosomal RNA", at positions 369 to 675 of the family's 1831-position model. The record is from RNAcentral.